CAGUAGCCGCGGUAAUGCGUAGGUGGCAAGCGUUGUCCGGAAUUAUUGGGCGUAAAGGGCUCGCAGGCGGUUUCUUAAGUCUGAUGUGAAAGCCCCCGGCUCAACCGGGGAGGGUCAUUGGAAACUGGGAAACUUGAGUGCAGAAGAGGAGAGUGGAAUUCCACGUGUAGCGGUGAAAUGCGUAGAGAUGUGGAGGAACACCAGUGGCGAAGGCGACUCUCUGGUCUGUAACGGACGCUGAGGAGCGAAAGCGUGGGGAGCGAACAGGAUUAGAUACCCCCGUAGUCCCUGUCUCUUAUAC
This 301-nucleotide ribosomal RNA is filed under the name uncultured bacterium. RNAcentral describes it as "partial 16S ribosomal RNA". It matches the Rfam family "Bacterial small subunit ribosomal RNA", at positions 509 to 807 of the family's 1533-position model. The record is from RNAcentral.